This 500-nucleotide ribosomal RNA is filed under the name uncultured bacterium. RNAcentral describes it as "partial 16S ribosomal RNA". It matches the Rfam family "Bacterial small subunit ribosomal RNA", at positions 30 to 523 of the family's 1533-position model. The record is from RNAcentral.
AUUGAACGCUGGCGGCAUGCUUUACACAUGCAAGUCGAACGGUAACAGGGUGCUUGCACCGCUGACGAGUGGCGAACGGGUGAGUAAUGCGUCGGAACGUGCCGAGUAGUGGGGGAUAACGCAGCGAAAGUUGUGCUAAUACCGCAUACGUACUGAGGUAGAAAGUGGGGGACCUUCGGGCCUCACGCUAUUCGAGCGGCCGACGUCUGAUUAGCUAGUAGGUGAGGUAAAGGCUCACCUAGGCGACGAUCAGUAGCGGGUCUGAGAGGAUGAUCCGCCACACUGGGACUGAGACACGGCCCAGACUCCUACGGGAGGCAGCAGUGGGGAAUUUUGGACAAUGGGCGAAAGCCUGAUCCAGCCAUGCCGCGUGUCUGAAGAAGGCCUUCGGGUUGUAAACCGCUUUUGUCAGGGAAGAAACGCUCUGGGUUAAUACCUCGGGGUAAUGACGGUACCUGAAGAAUAAGCACCGGCUAACUACGUGCCAGCCGCCGCAGUAA